RNAcentral lists this ribosomal RNA (253 nucleotides) under uncultured bacterium. Its description in RNAcentral is "partial 16S ribosomal RNA". It matches the Rfam family "Bacterial small subunit ribosomal RNA", at positions 524 to 776 of the family's 1533-position model. The record is from RNAcentral.
UACGUAGGGGGCGAGCGUUAUCCGGAUUCACUGGGUGUAAAGGGAGCGUAGACGGCCAUGCAAGCCAGGGGUGAAAACCCGGGGCCCAACCCCGGGACUGCCCUUGGAACUGCAUGGCUGGAGUGCGGGAGGGGCAGGCGGAAUUCCUGGUGUAGCGGUGAAAUGCGUAGAUAUUAGGAGGAACACCAGUGGCGAAGGCGGCCUGCUGGACGAUGACUGACGCUGAGGCGCGAAAGCGUGGGGAGCAAACAGG